CCUACGGGAGGCAGCAGUGAGGAAUAUUGGUCAAUGGUCGAGAGGCUGAACCAGCCAAGUCGCGUGAAGGAAGACGGCCCUAUGGGUUGUAAACCUCUUUUGUCGGGGAGCAAAAUGCGCCACGUGUGACGUUUUGAGAGUACCCGAAGAAAAAGCAUCGGCUAACUCCGUGCCAGCAGCCGCGGUAAUACGGAGGAUCCGGGCGUUAUCCGGAUUUAUUGGGUUUAAAGGGUCCGCAGGCGGAUGGUCAAGCCAGCGGUAAAAUUGCGGGGCUCAACCCCGUAGUGCCGUUGAAACUGGUUUCCUUGAGUGCGCGGGAGGUAUGCGGAAUGCGUGGUGUAGCGGUGAAAUGCAUAGAUAUCACGCAGAACUCCGAUUGCGAAGGCAGCAUACGGGCGCGCAACUGACGCUGAUGCACGAAAGCGUGGGUAUCGAACAGGAUUAGAUACCCCGGUAGUC
Molecule: ribosomal RNA, 459 nt
Filed under: uncultured bacterium
Lineage: Bacteria
Description: partial 16S ribosomal RNA
Rfam family: Bacterial small subunit ribosomal RNA
Source: RNAcentral